GACGAGGAGCUUGCUCCUCUGACGUUAGCGGCGGACGGGUGAGUAACACGUGGAUAACCUACCUAUAAGACUGGGAUAACUUCGGGAAACCGGAGCUAAUACCGGAUAAUAUAUUGAACCGCAUGGUUCAAUAGUGAAAGACGGUUUUGCUGUCACUUAUAGAUGGAUCCGCGCCGCAUUAGCUAGUUGGUAAGGUAACGGCUUACCAAGGCAACGAUGCGUAGCCGACCUGAGAGGGUGAUCGGCCACACUGGAACUGAGACACGGUCCAGACUCCUACGGGAGGCAGCAGUAGGGAAUCUUCCGCAAUGGGCGAAAGCCUGACGGAGCAACGCCGCGUGAGUGAUGAAGGUCUUCGGAUCGUAAAACUCUGUUAUUAGGGAAGAACAAAUGUGUAAGUAACUAUGCACGUCUUGACGGUACCUAAUCAGAAAGCCACGGCUAACUACGUGCCAGCAGCCGCGGUAAUACGUAGGUGGCAAGCGUUAUCCGGAAUUAUUGGGCGUAAAGCGCGCGUAGGCGGUUUUUUAAGUCUGAUGUGAAAGCCCACGGCUCAACCGUGGAGGGUCAUUGGAAACUGGAAAACUUGAGUGCAGAAGAGGAAAGUGGAAUUCCAUGUGUAGCGGUGAAAUGCGCAGAGAUAUGGAGGAACACCAGUGGCGAAGGCGACUUUCUGGUCUGUAACUGACGCUGAUGUGCGAAAGCGCGGGGAUCAAACNGGAUUAGAUACCCUGGUUAGUCCAUGCCGGUUACCGAUGAGCGCUAGUAGUUC
Molecule: ribosomal RNA, 772 nt
Filed under: Staphylococcus epidermidis
Lineage: Bacteria; Bacillati; Bacillota; Bacilli; Caryophanales; Staphylococcaceae
Description: bacterial SSU rRNA
Rfam family: Bacterial small subunit ribosomal RNA
Source: RNAcentral